Molecule: non-coding RNA, 125 nt
Organism: Triticum aestivum (bread wheat)
Lineage: Eukaryota; Viridiplantae; Streptophyta; Magnoliopsida; Poales; Poaceae
Source: Rfam
AUAAUACUCCCUCCGUCCAGAAAUACUCGUCGGAGAAAUAGAUAAAAAUGGAUGCAUCUAGAACUAAAAUACGUCUAGAUACAUUCAUUUCUCCGACAAGUAUUUCCGGACGGAGGGAGUAGUAC